GACGAACGCUGGCGGCGUGCCUAAUACAUGCAAGUAGAACGCACAGUUUAUACCGUAGCUUGCUACACCAUAGACUGUGAGUUGCGAACGGGUGAGUAACGCGUAGGUAACCUGCCUGGUAGCGGGGGAUAACUAUUGGAAACGAUAGCUAAUACCGCAUAAUAUUGAUUAUUGCAUGAUAAUUGAUUGAAAGAUGCUAUUGCAUCACUACCAGAUGGACCUGCGUCGUAUUAGCUAGUAGGUGAGGUAACGGCUCACCUAGGCGACGAUACAUAGCCGACCUGAGAGGGUGAUCGGCCACACUGGGACUGAGACACGGCCCAGACUCCUACGGGAGGCAGCAGUAGGGAAUCUUCGGCAAUGGACGAAAGUCUGACCGAGCAACGCCGCGUGAGUGAAGAAGGUUUUCGGAUCGUAAAGCUCUGUUGUAAGAGAAGAACGGGUGUGAGAGUGGAAAGUUCACACUGUGACGGUAGCUUACCAGAAAGGGACGGCUAACUACGUG
This 505-nucleotide ribosomal RNA is filed under the name uncultured bacterium. RNAcentral describes it as "partial 16S ribosomal RNA". It matches the Rfam family "Bacterial small subunit ribosomal RNA", at positions 28 to 507 of the family's 1533-position model. The record is from RNAcentral.